This 253-nucleotide ribosomal RNA is filed under the name uncultured bacterium. RNAcentral's name for it is "partial 16S ribosomal RNA". It matches the Rfam family "Bacterial small subunit ribosomal RNA", at positions 524 to 776 of the family's 1533-position model. The record is from RNAcentral.
UACGGAGGGUGCAAGCGUUGUCCGGAUUUAUUGGGUUUAAAGGGUGCGUAGGCGGUUCUUUAAGUCAGUGGUGAAAUACUGCAGCUCAACUGUAGCAUUGCCAUUGAUACUGAAGAACUUGAGUACAGAUGAGGUAGGCGGAAUUUAUGGUGUAGCGGUGAAAUGCAUAGAUACCAUAAAGAACACCGAUUGCGAAGGCAGCUUACUAGCUGUAACUGACGCUGACGGCACGAAAGCGUGGGGAGCGAACAGG